This 465-nucleotide ribosomal RNA is filed under the name Vreelandella stevensii. RNAcentral's name for it is "partial 16S ribosomal RNA". It matches the Rfam family "Bacterial small subunit ribosomal RNA", at positions 338 to 795 of the family's 1533-position model. The record is from RNAcentral. Lineage: Bacteria; Pseudomonadati; Pseudomonadota; Gammaproteobacteria; Oceanospirillales; Halomonadaceae.
CCUACGGGGAGCAGCAGUGGGGAAUAUUGGACAAUGGGCGAAAGCCUGAUCCAGCCAUGCCGCGUGUGUGAAGAAGGCCUUCGGGUUGUAAAGCACUUUCAGUGGGGAAGAAAGCCUUGGGGCUAAUACCCUCGAGGAAGGACAUCACCCACAGAAGAAGCACCGGCUAACUCCGUGCCAGCAGCCGCGGUAAUACGGAGGGUGCGAGCGUUAAUCGGAAUUACUGGGCGUAAAGCGCGCGUAGGCGGUCUGAUAAGCCGGUUGUGAAAGCCCCGGGCUCAACCUGGGAACGGCAUCCGGAACUGUCAGGCUAGAGUGCAGGAGAGGAAGGUAGAAUUCCCGGUGUAGCGGUGAAAUGCGUAGAGAUCGGGAGGAAUACCAGUGGCGAAGGCGGCCUUCUGGACUGACACUGACGCUGAGGUGCGAAAGCGUGGGUAGCAAACAGGAUUAGAUACCCCUGUCGUC